RNAcentral lists this ribosomal RNA (507 nucleotides) under uncultured Beijerinckia sp. RNAcentral describes it as "bacterial SSU rRNA". It matches the Rfam family "Bacterial small subunit ribosomal RNA", at positions 90 to 632 of the family's 1533-position model. The record is from RNAcentral. Lineage: Bacteria; Pseudomonadati; Pseudomonadota; Alphaproteobacteria; Hyphomicrobiales; Beijerinckiaceae.
GGUGAGCGGCAGACGGGUGAGUAACACGUGGGAACGUACCCUUCGGUUCGGAAUAACUCAGGGAAACUUGAGCUAAUACCGGAUACGUCCGAGAGGAGAAAGAUUUAUUGCCGAAGGAUCGGCCCGCGUCUGAUUAGCUAGUUGGUGAGGUAACGGCUCACCAAGGCGACGAUCAGUAGCUGGUCUGAGAGGAUGAUCAGCCACAUUGGGACUGAGACACGGCCCAAACUCCUACGGGAGGCAGCAGUGGGGAAUAUUGGACAAUGGGCGCAAGCCUGAUCCAGCCAUGCCGCGUGAGUGAUGAAGGCCUUAGGGUUGUAAAGCUCUUUUACCUGGGAAGAUAAUGACGGUACCAGGAGAAUAAGCCCCGGCUAACUUCGUGCCAGCAGCCGCGGUAAUACGAAGGGGGCUAGCGUUGUUCGGAUUUACUGGGCGUAAAGCGCACGUAGGCGGAUCUUUAAGUCAGAGGUGAAAUCCCAAGGCUCAACCUUGGAACUGCCUUUGAUA